CGUCAAAUCAUCAUGCCCUUAUGACCUGGGCUACACACGUGCUACAAUGGUUGGUACGACGAGUUGCGAGUCGGUGACGGCGAGGCUAAUCUCUUAAAGCCAAUCUCAGUUCGGAUUGUAGGCUGCAACUCGCCACAUGAAGUCGGAAUCGCUAGUAAUCGCGGAUCAGCACGCCGCGGUGAAUACGUUCCCGGGCCUU
This 199-nucleotide ribosomal RNA is filed under the name uncultured Streptococcus sp. RNAcentral's name for it is "partial 16S ribosomal RNA". It matches the Rfam family "Bacterial small subunit ribosomal RNA", at positions 1183 to 1382 of the family's 1533-position model. Lineage: Bacteria; Bacillati; Bacillota; Bacilli; Lactobacillales; Streptococcaceae. The record is from RNAcentral.